AACUGCAUUUUAACCAUGACACUGUGCUGUCUCACAUGACACAGAUAUAAGGGUCUCUCCACAUUCUAACUACAUGGAGGACAGUUCCUGACUAACAUUUUGCUGAGUUGAAGUAUAUUGAAGAAAAUACAGCUUCACAAAGAUAUAUUUGGGAAAUGGAAAGGUUAAAAUAAAUCAAAAUAAAAAACAACAAAAGUUGCUUAAGCUGAAACAUUUCCUCCCCAUCAAUCCUAUACACAUCUAAGGAAAUUAAACCAUCCUACACGGUGUUGCUCA
Molecule: long non-coding RNA, 276 nt
Organism: Suricata suricatta (meerkat)
Lineage: Eukaryota; Metazoa; Chordata; Mammalia; Carnivora; Herpestidae
Exons: 3
Source: RefSeq, a predicted model, not a curated record